ACCUGGUUGAUCCUGCCAGGUGCGACCGCUAUUGGAGUUCGAUUAAGCCAUGCGAGUAGAAAGAAAUUAGAUUCUUUGCAUACUGCUCAGUAACACGUGGAUAACCUGCCCUACACUGGGGGAUAAUCUCGGGAAACUGAGGAUAAUACCCCAUAGACCACUACGCCUGGAACGGUGAGUGGUUGAAAGCUCAGGCGGUGUAGGAUGGGUCUGCGGCGUAUCAGGUCGUAGGGGGUGUAAUGGACCUCCUAGCCAUCGACGCGUACGGGUUGUGGGAGCAAUAGCCCGGAGACGGAUUCUGAGACACGAAUCCGGACCCUACGGGGUGCAGCAGGCGCGAAAACUUCACACUGCAGGAAACUGUGAUGAGGGAACUCCAAGUGACUGCACAUUGUGUAGCCUUUUCUUGAAUCUUAAUAGUUCUUGGAAUAAGGGCUGGGAAAGACCGGUGCCAGCCGCCGCGGUAAUACCGGCAGCUCGAGUGGUCGUCGCUUUUAUUGGGCCUAAAACGUCCGUAGCCUGUUUGGUAAAUCUGUGGGUAAAU
RNAcentral lists this ribosomal RNA (544 nucleotides) under uncultured Candidatus Poseidoniales archaeon. RNAcentral describes it as "bacterial SSU rRNA". It matches the Rfam family "Archaeal small subunit ribosomal RNA", at positions 1 to 550 of the family's 1478-position model. Lineage: Archaea; Methanobacteriati; Thermoplasmatota; Candidatus Poseidoniia; Candidatus Poseidoniales. The record is from RNAcentral.